GAGGUUAGAGCAGAGAGGACAAGGCAGAGUAAGCUCAAGACUAAGGCGUCGUCGGAGGAGGAGGCACGUGACCCCCAGAGGGAGGGGGACCCCCAGGGCAGCACGUCUGACAGCAUCGCUCUGAGAAGACUCACCAACGAGUUUCACCAGCUGAGGAUGUCCAUUCAGGAGAGCAUGGGCAGUCUGCCUCAGCAACACAUGUCAGAGACCAUUUCAGCAGUCCCAGAGGCAUCUGAGGUGGCGCACAGUGAGAAGGUGAGAGAGAUGUCGGAGCACCACGGCCACCAGCUGGCGGAGAUCCGGGCACACACUGACCACCUGGAGCAGCAGA
Long non-coding RNA from Clupea harengus (Atlantic herring), 331 nucleotides. RefSeq lists it as uncharacterized. The record is from RefSeq and is a predicted model, not a curated record. The transcript has 3 exons. Lineage: Eukaryota; Metazoa; Chordata; Actinopteri; Clupeiformes; Clupeidae.